This is a long non-coding RNA of Crotalus tigris (Tiger rattlesnake), 6089 nucleotides long. RefSeq lists it as uncharacterized. The transcript has 7 exons. The record is from RefSeq and is a predicted model, not a curated record. NCBI's taxonomy places the organism in Eukaryota, Metazoa, Chordata, Lepidosauria, Squamata, Viperidae.
ACCACCACAGCCAGGCCCACUCAGUGGGCCACACCUAUCCGGCACCCAAUGAUACAUAAGUGGGUUUUGGGUUGCAGUUUGGGCACUCGGUCUCUAAAAGGUUCUCCAUCACUGAUAUAGUUCAUCUAUAUUGAGAAAGCUUUCGCCAAAAAGUAUUUAUGUUUAACAAGUGCCUGCCACAGUAAGUUUUUGCACAUUACACUGAAGAUGAAGGCUCUAGCUGUGGUUAUUUAGAAAGCUGUCGGUGCAACCCUGUGCCUUGUAAAUCACGACAUCUGUUUAAUUUUCUCUUUUAAAGUUUGGUUUAGUAGCCAAAUAAUUUCUUAAAUAUAGGGAAGUAAAAAACUUGAUCACACAGCAGUGUCAAUCACAGAAAACCAACUAUGUAGAUCAGCAUAGAUCAGACAUGUCAAACUCGCGAUGUCACAUGAUGUCACACGACGUAUCAGAACUUUUUCCCCAUUGCCUGCAAUGGAAUGGGUGCAGUUUCCUCGUGAUGCGUCUGGCCCAUGGGCUGGCAGUUUGACAGCCCUGGCAUAGAUAAUACCAACUAUCAUUUGUAUAGCAAAUGAUACAUUUGUUAAGUAUCAUGUCUGAAAAGGGUUCUGUAACAUCAGUAACUGACUUAUUGGUUGGAUUCCCGAGCAAUUGCACUAAAUUGGUUGCAAUUUGCACUAAAACAAUGCAGACUAGGGGCUCUGGGUCCUAAAGUCCAUACAUCUGGAGGGCACAGAGGUUGGGUCAGGAUGAAAGAGCCAGGCCACAGAAUGAUUGAAAAGUCGCUCUCUUCUUAAAGCUAACAUCUGGAGAAUUCAAACAUUCCUCUCCUCAGUCUUCCUGCUGAAGCAGAUACUCAAACUGUAGACCUCAGUUGAGGCUUUUCAGUGUCAUAGGGAUGAUAAUCUUAGCAUCGGUCUACUGUCUUGUUCCUUACAUGCCAAAAAUCUUCAUUAAUGAGUUGGGGGGGGGGGGAGAAUGGAGGGGAAAUGUGAGACAAGAAACUAAUGCUAAACUGAAAAGUAAAAAAAAAAAAUCUCCUGUUUUACCCCAGUAAAAAAAAAAAUCUCCUGUUUUACCCCAGUAAAAAAAAAAAUCUCCUGUUUUACCCCAAUAUGCUCAGAAGCUUUCCUUCUGAGCAUAUUAGCAAUUCACUGAAGCUCCAAGGGAGAUCAGGCUAGGUUCCUCUCUGCUGGUCUUCAGAAAAAUUCCCAAACACUUAGUAUUUCCGGGGGAAUGAGGGGCAUUCUCAUGUUUUAAGCUGUGAGCCGUUUUAUAUUUUCUACUCUGUUGUUUCUGCCUGGUUUUCAACAGGAUGUUUUAUGGCAUUUUAAUGUGUGUGUGUGAGAGAGUUUAUAAAUGUAAAUAAAUACGUAGCCGUAGAAGUCCAGUGAGUUCUGUUCUGGAUAUAUUAGAUAAAGAGUUUACCAUCAGUUUUGUGCAGAGAGGCUACAAAAUUUUUUCUUCUUUUUCAUCCACAGGGGUAAAAGUCUUCCGCAGUAGAUUUCACCCUGUUAUGUAGCUGUUGGUGAUAAGAGUCUUAUUCUGCCUUUAAAAAACAAAACAGCUGAAGUUGUUAACUUACUGGCCUGUCCUUUAAGGAAGUAGGGCAAAGCACAGAGGCCCGGUAUGGGAUAACUGAGAACUUAGUCAUGUAAGUAGAAGGGGAAUUUACCUAUUAGGAAUAGAAUGUUCUGUGCAUCUUUCUCUGCUGUUUACGCAGAUGCUGUGGGCACUCCCACAGCAGAGGAAACCACAAUCUUUAAUGUGUUAAAUUGCUUAGAAAUCGACAUCUUAAUCCAUUGGACUGAAGUGUAUAAGAAUAAAAGUCCAGUUCUAAAAUCAGAAUCAUCAGUUGCACAGGGAGAAAAAUUAAGAGAUCUGUGGAUUUAUCCAAGUUGGAUUAAACAAUCUGUGGAUCCCAACCAGGUACCGUAGAAUCCUGCAGCUACGUUCCACUGAGCAGUUUUGAAAGCAUCACUGGACUAUGGGCAAGAUUCCUCCUUGGUACCAGAUGCUGUGUGGACAUGCUAUUAAUAAGCUUCAAGAAUGGAUCGAUUCAGUUUUUUUCUCCUUCCAACUCACGAUGUCAUCCUGAACAAAAGCAUUGUCAACUCACACUGAGGAAAAGAUUUCGCCCAGGAAAUAGCUACGUUGUGGUUUCUUAGGCAACUACCUACAAAAUCAUUUUCAAAAGACAGAAGGCUGUUAUAAAAGGCAACACAUUGUACAGAAUUACUUCGUUGUUGUUCAUAUUUGUUUUGCUUCCUGUCAAAAACAUGUUCAUUUUGGGCACUUAAACUCCCAUUAAAAUCCUUUAAAACUUUGGGAUUCAUGGAUCAUUGGAUGAAAAGUUGACCGGAAUCUCAGUGAAUGAUCAAAGACUGCGUGAUCUUGCAGGAACAAGAAUACCUCCUAAUCACCUUAAUUCCUCCCCCAACUUCAUUGGUGAGCAACCUUGAGACAAAAAUGACCUCUAGUCCACGAUUAUAUAUCUAUUCCAACUGGGCAUUUCUUUAAUCUACCUUGUUGAUUUUCUCCAAUAACAGUGCCAGGAGUAGGAAAUUCAUUCUAGAAUUCUACCACUUUUGCAAUUCAGAAGUUUAUCCUAAUGACCAUGCUUAAAACUUUUGGCCACCACCUGGGUCUACUGUUUCUUUUCUGCAAUAGACGCAUAUAUUAUUCAUGUACUAAAAUCUUUUAAGUCAGCCCAUCAGUUAUUUAAUUUUUUUUUCUCAGUCAUCCAUACUGAACGGAUGGGUUCUUAGACUUACCUUUAAAAAAGCAUUGUUGUAGCUCAGGAGUGCGUAUCACCAUAUAAUGCUGCUCACCCUAGAGAUGUAUCCAGCUGUGUUGUUACCUUUAUGUAAAAGAAGAUAUAGCUGUCCAGUGGAACAAGUAUCCUGUUUGUAGUUUGAAGGAGAGAUGCCACCAUUUGGAGUAUGAAAAAGCAGAACUUUUUAACUCAGAAGAUAGAGAUGAGAGCCAUCAGUUUUGGUCACCUUGUAAACGCUGAUUCAGGAGCCUUCCAGCAGCAGAUGAAAGAAAGCUGCAACGUUCCUGACUGCAAAUGGAUUUGACUCGUAACUACCACCUUGUUGAGGACUAUAUGAGAUUUUGGCAGCUGAACCCCAGUGGUGUGAGUCUUCUCAGGAGGGUGUCUUGAACCCAACGAUGCUUGUUACAAAGAUUCCAAGACACAAUUACUGGCAGUGCUUUGAGAUCAGCCAUGUUUGGAUAACGGCCGCCCCCUGCUGGAACAUAACUUAAAUUAUACUCGGAGAAAUCAAGAGGAUGAGAAACAGAGAGAGAUGAAGGACAUGAUUCGGGGUUAAAUCUAAUGCUGCCUUGUGAUUCAGGAGCUUAGUAAAAAGGUUGCAAGAGAAGAAAUGAAAAAAAAGAACAUUUCAAGAUAGGAGAUGGAGGGAAAGGCAGCAUCUGAAGGAUUAAUUCAAAAAAUAAAAAAUAAAUCAAUGCUGCGACAUUCACUAUUAUUAGGUGGAUGUCAGAUUUAGAUACUUCAAAGCUUAAAUAAAGCCUUUUGGCCUUUGGUCAAGGAAGGACCUUUUGAUUACAGAAUGCAGAGCAGAAAAUCUUCCAUGUUGCUGUUCGGCAACGGAUGACAACCCUUUGGCCCCGAGUCUCAGACUUACAUCCCGGAAGUAGUCCGUGCCAAUUCCAUGCCGUUGCAAAGGAAACCGCGUGGAGAAGUCACCAGGAGUUGAGCAAAACACAAAAGAGCUUUGCCUUUUUUUAUAUUGGGGGGUCCUGUGGAGGCUCGCUCUUGAGGCUCACCUCACGUAGCCCUCUGGCUUCAAGAUGAUCAUUUUUAUCAUUUGCUGAGGAAAUACCUUCAGGGUGGUCUCCAUCUCUGAACCAACUACGACAAGCAAGAGGAUCCAACAGGAAGCCUGUGUUUUCUUUUUACAAAUGGGAGGAAGACUUUAUUUGCAUUUUUUUUUUGUUUUGUUUUGGUCCUCUGGAGGAGGAACUUGAGGGAAAGCAGCAUCAGCAAACUCCACGGUGCCUCCUGGCCUGGGGCAGACCCUCUUCUCCUUGCGUGAUCUGGGCCCCUCACUUGACUUGGCUGGCUGUCGGCAGCGCCUUUUCGCCCCCAGAGAGAAUGCAGAGCAGAAAAUCUUCCAUGUUGCUGUUCGACAACGGAUGACAACCCUUUGGCCCCGAGUCUCAGACUUACAUCCCGGAAGUAGUCCGUGCCAAUUCCAUGCCGUUGCAAAGGAAACCGCGUGGAGAAGUCACCAGGAGUUGAGCAAAACACAAAAGAGCUUUGCCUUUUUUUAUAUUGGGGGGUCCUGUGGAGGCUCGCUCUUGAGGCUCACCUCACAUAGCCCUCUGGCUUCAAGAUGAUCAUUUCCAGUUCAGCUUUCCGAGUGCUCCUGAAAUCCCUGGAACCUCGAGUUACACAUUUUGGGGUUAGAUACCAAGAGGGGCAACACGUUGGCAGUGCCGUGGCUCAGCAGUUGAAAGAUAAAUAACUGCUCGGUGGGUGGGGAUUUCAGAUCUGAGCAUGAUGUCACGGUUCCGACUAAUGAAACACUUCAAAGAACUUCCAGGCAUUUUAUCCUAAAAAAGUCUUUUUAUUGGUGUGACAAAAAUGUCGGCACAGGCAUGAAGAAAGGAAUGCUGAGAUCUGAAAUCCCCACCCACCGAGCAGUUAUUUUGCUAGCAUUUCCCUCCCCUAUUUUGCUGUCACGAUGUACGUUCCCCAAUUAGUUUGAAGGGCAAAGGUUCCCUUCCGUCUUCUUUCGCGGGCUUUUCCCUCCUCCCUCUCUCUCCUCUGAAUUAACUCUAAAAGUACCAGGCAGUUCAGCAUAUUUUGUCAAAGCAAGAAUAUACGAUAUUAGCAGCGUUGACAGUCAGUUGGAAAGCCACGAGACCCGCGCACCACGCCAGGGGGUGGGCUCCCGUUCCUCGCCCCAACUCCUGCCGUUCGAAAGCACGCAAAUGCGAGUAGGUAAAUAGGUACCACUUCCCAGUGGGAAAGUAAGAGCAUUCCCAAGGCCUUUGGCAUGUAACCACGCUGGCGACGUGACUGUGGAAACCUCCUCAGACAGCAGAUGGAGGUGAGCACUGCCCCCUAUAGUCAGAGUAAAAAUCCAUAAGGGCUCCUUUACUAUUUUUUCCCGUGGCACGCUUACGAAUUUACGCAGACUUAAGGCAGGUUGUUGAGUGUGGAAAACCGGCGAGGUUGACAGCUUUUUAUUUCUUCCGUGUGUUUUCGCUCUUGCAGCUUCUUUCGCCCUGAAAGUGGUUAAAUGUUUCCUACAACAGGCUCAGAGCUAUAUUUUGGCUGCUUCAAGAAAAGGGCCCCGGGGGAAAGGAACACGGCUUUCUCCUGAGGAGUCUUUACCAUCUCAGCUUCGUCGAAAUGAAAAAAGGAAACCGCCAGCGUACGUUAAUCUCCGCCUUUAAUAACGCCUUAGCUACCAGGAGGCCUCGUCUGGAGCUUCUUCAGGAAUCUGGUUUCAUAUGGUGGUUUAGAUUUAAGUACACAAGGUCUAGCACCAUUUGAAAUCAGUGUUUUUGGGGGAAGAACGGCUGCGCGUUGACCCGUUUCGGAGAGUCCACCUGUUGCUUCUGAUAAAAGCUUCUGUGACCGCCUCAUUUACACGGAUUUAUGGCCUCUUUUCAUGCACGGCCUCACCAGGAAAACCGAGAUCACAAAGCCAGGUUACUUAGACAAUUUGAAGCGAACCUCUCCCUUGCAGAAAUAUACCUGGCUUCUUGGGCAAGAUACUGGGCUUGGAAGUGUGUGUGUGUGUGUGUGUGUGUGUGUGUGUGUGUGUGUGUGUGUGUGUGCAUACUAUGAGAAUGUCAUUGACAGAUUGCCAAUAGGAGACAUUUAGAGCUGGUUGUAAGAGAGUUUUAAUAAGUUGACUCGGCAGAAAACCCCUUUUCCAGAAUGGUUUCUGUGCCAGCUUGUUACCUUUUUAAAUUAAGUUAGCAAAUAUUUAAGAAUUGAUGUUCCAGAGCAGCGGUAGGCAACCUGGGCUCUUUUAUGACUCGUGGACUUCAACUCCCAGAAUUCCUGAGCCAGCCAUGCUGAGGGGAAAUGGAGAGGUUUCCAAGCU